Molecule: long non-coding RNA, 2568 nt
Organism: Cavia porcellus (domestic guinea pig)
Lineage: Eukaryota; Metazoa; Chordata; Mammalia; Rodentia; Caviidae
Exons: 4
Source: RefSeq, a predicted model, not a curated record
UUUCCAAAUGAGCUCUGCCUUCCAGUGUUCAACUUUCUGUUUACUAUUUUAUCUCCUCUCUAUCUUCAAAUGACUUCUCUAGCCUGGAUCAGACGGCGAAUUUGUACAGCUACUCUUAACUCACUUUCAGUUGGCCACAGCAGAACUGUACAUCUUGACUCUUUUUUUUACAGCUUUUCCAUACUGGGGCCCACUUCCUGCCCAGUUGAGGAAAAAAAUCUGGCCUGAAGAUGAAAUGACUGCUUAACAUUACACGAGAACAUCUGGUACCAUUUUAUGCACAGACCCAUGUCUGAGAGCAGGCGAUUCCAGCGGUCUCUCCAGCGGCACAGCACAUACCCAAACCUCCCCAGGGUGACAUCAUCCUAUAUAUGGACUCUCCAGCCCAGCCCUCCCCCUUUUCCUGGUCCUAAAUUCAUUGCCAGUUCCCUAGUCUGCAGCAAAUGUGCCACGUCAAGACUGGAAAUCACAGCCCUUGAGUUUUGCACGCUAGGGAUCAAGAAGUGCUCAGGGACACUGCUGAGAACGGACCACUCGAGGGAAAACCUGCGGGGAUCGUGGCAUCUAUUCCAGAGGAAAUUAACCAACUGUGAGCAUCUUCAACUAAAACUGUCCUGGAUAUAACGGUUGCAUGCACCAUUCCUUUAAUUGAGCACAAUAAACUGGAUCAAAUUUUUAAUGGGAGAGCGAGGGAAAGUUAUAUAAAAUAUAGUAACUUUUAAUUUCUACCAGUAUGUUCUUUGUAAGUGAAUAUUUCUAUAAUUAUUUUCUGUUGCACUGAAUGCAACAAUAAUAGCUAAGAUAGUGUUUUCAGGCAUUUGUUCUUUGCAUAAUCUAACUUUGCAAUUAUUUAUACAGCAGCCAAGUUUACUGAUGUUUUUAAUUCUGUGAAGGAAAAAAGUCUUCUACUCUGAAGUGAUGAACAGGAACAGAAUUGUUUACUUUUGAAAUUAAAUACCUAGAAAUUGCAUUUAUCAAUUCUUUGUCAAAGCUUUGCCAUAUCUAGUAACUGUAUAAAAGUUCAGAAUAGUAGAACUGUCAUUUUUCAGUCCCUAAAAACUAUUUUGUUCUCUACCAGGUUGCUUUGCUAGUCUCUUGAAAUUUUAUUAAUAUAACUAAAGAUAAACAAUAAGCUAUUUCAUUUAUAACGGUCUUUGAAAAAUUCCAAGUAUACAUUCUUUGAAUAAGAAGUUUUACUCUUUGGAAUUUUGCCUCUAUGGAUAUUUUGUUUCUAAAAGGGAUGUAAAUUGUUAAAUACCUUUACAUGUUUGAAUCAGUCAUUUAUGUUAAAAAUAGCCAAAAUCAUUCUUGACUCCCCCAAAUUUCAUUUUAUAUAUAUAUAUGUAAUAUUAUUAAUUCUUCUUUACAAUAAGAAAAUUUUGCAAAGAGUCUGAAUUUAGUUUUUGGAUAUGAAAUAAGUUUUUCUUUUCAGUGUUUAAGGUUGUAUUUUGUAACUGUACAUACACUAAUAAUAUCCAAAACACAUUCAGAGCAUCCCUGAAACAACUUUCCAGUUCACAUCCGGUGGUUCAUUUCAUGACCCUGUAAGUUGAUUAAGCAAUGGAAAAAUUAAGCUCACAACUGUCUUUUAUUUGACUUCCACAUCCAUACUUAGGAACUAUACAUUUAAAAGAAAACUGAAAAGUUUAAAUAAAUUCCUGUUCAGAUAUAAAAUCUCGCUAUCAAAGAAUCAGAAACCAAAGUCCACUGGUUCAGUUGCCAAAUACAUUAUGCUCAUUAAUUAUUCUGAAAAUGGCUGCUGUUACCAUGUAAAUGACAAUUUUCUUUUUCGAGAGCAAGGUUAUAGUUCUUAUCUACUACGAGAAACAUGUAUAAACAUAGUCUUUAUCUUUAGCUUCAGUAUUAAAAUAUGCAGAGUUUUCGCAAAGAGGAAAAACAUCUGGUUCAAUUACUCUGAACUCUGACUGCAUGGGGGCCAGUCAUACUAGGAAUUGGAUUUGAGGGGAAAAAAUCUUGUGUUUAAUCUUUCUUCUUCCUUAAAAUUUUAAUGUGAGUUUUCUGUCAUGCCAAAUCUCCAUGUUAGCACAUUGGAACAAAUGUAUAAGUGUACUUUCUGAAUAAAGUCCAACGUCUAACUUGUUUUUAGUUCCAUAAUGUUUUAAUGUUUAAUUCUGCUGUGUGUUUUUCUCCCUUUCCCCUCACCCUCCAAAAUCACCUAAUCUGGAAAACAGGCUGAUUGUAUCUGUCCAUGAGCAAAGGAAACCUGAAGGAAUCAAGGGCCUGGCUGGACAGAGUUGUCAUGUGUCUGCCUGUCUACACUUGCUGUGCAGAACAUCCGCUCACCUGUACAGCAGGCACAGACAGGCAGUCACAUGACAACCCAGCCUGAAUGACAACCAGCCAUUGAAAGAAAGCAGUCCUCACACCAUAGCAUCCAAGAGCUACAACCAGAGUGAGGGGCCUGGGGGUCUGGGUUUUUAAUCUGUUGGCUUAAUACUUAACGCGUAUGUAUUCUUAUUAUUUUAUUUUGAUUCAAAUAUUAAAACCCACCAAAAGUAAAGUAAGUGGUGCCUAUGAAAUAUAAUAAAACCCAUUUCUGAAAAUGUU